This 546-nucleotide ribosomal RNA is filed under the name uncultured bacterium. Its description in RNAcentral is "bacterial SSU rRNA". It matches the Rfam family "Bacterial small subunit ribosomal RNA", at positions 356 to 916 of the family's 1533-position model. The record is from RNAcentral.
GGGGAAUUUUCCGCAAUGGGCGAAAGCCUGACGGAGCAACGCCGCGUGAGGGAUGAAGGCCUCUGGGCUGUAAACCUCUUUUAUCAAGGAAGAAGAUCUGACGGUACUUGAUGAAUAAGCCACGGCUAAUUCCGUGCCAGCAGCCGCGGUAAUACGGGAGUGGCAAGCGUUAUCCGGAAUUAUUGGGCGUAAAGCGUCCGCAGGCGGUCUGUCAAGUCUGCUGUUAAAGCGUGGAGCUUAACUCCAUUUAGGCAGUGGAAACUGACAGACUAGAGUGUGGUAGGGGCAGAGGGAAUUCCCGGUGUAGCGGUGAAAUGCGUAGAUAUCGGGAAGAACACCAGUGGCGAAGGCGCUCUGCUGGGCCAUAACUGACGCUCAUGGACGAAAGCCAGGGGAGCGAAAGGGAUUAAAUACCCCUGUAGUCCUGGCCGUAAACGAUGAACACUAGGUGUCGGGGGAAUCGACCCCCUCGGUGUCGUAGCCAACGCGUUAAGUGUUCCGCCUGGGGAGUACGCACGCAAGUGUGAAACUCAAAGGAAUUGACGG